AAACGAGGACGACCUCGCCCGUUGCGGGAUAAAAUCGUUCGGGACGACCCGG
RNAcentral lists this non-coding RNA (52 nucleotides) under Thalassospira sp. RNAcentral describes it as "Guanidine-II sequence". It matches the Rfam family "Guanidine-II riboswitch aptamer (mini-ykkC)". Rfam says of the family: Simpler in structure and has fewer highly conserved nucleotide positions than the ykkC-yxkD leader. Despite this each of its two stem-loop structures directly bind free guanidine. The record is from RNAcentral. Lineage: Bacteria; Pseudomonadati; Pseudomonadota; Alphaproteobacteria; Rhodospirillales; Thalassospiraceae.